Molecule: transfer RNA, 70 nt
Filed under: Dipodomys ordii (Ord's kangaroo rat)
Lineage: Eukaryota; Metazoa; Chordata; Mammalia; Rodentia; Heteromyidae
Rfam family: tRNA
About the family: Transfer RNA (tRNA) molecules are approximately 80 nucleotides in length. Their secondary structure includes four short double-helical elements and three loops (D, anti-codon, and T loops).
Source: Rfam by way of RNAcentral
GGGAAGGUGGCUCAGUGGUAGAGUGCUUGCCUUGCAUGCAUAAGGCACUAGGUUCGAUUCCUCAGUACCA